CGCGUCGUGAGAUGUUGGGUUAAGUCCCGCAACGAGCGCAACCCUUGAUUCUAGUUGCCAGCAUUCAGUUGGGCACUCUAGAGUGACUGCCGGCGACAAGUCGGAGGAAGGUGGGGAUGACGUCAAAUCACCAUGCCCCUUAUGACCUGGGCUACACACGUGCUACAAUGGACAGAACAAAGGGCAGCGAAACCGCGAGGUUAAGCCAAUCCCACAAAUCUGUUCUCAGUUCGGAUCGCAGUCUGCAACUCGACUGCGUGAAGCUGGAAUCGCUAGUAAUCGCGGAUCAGCAUGCCGCGGUGAAUACGUUCCCGGGCCUUGUACACACCGCCCGUCACACCACGAGAGCUUGUAACACCCGAAGUCGGUGAGGUAACCUUUUAGGAGCCAGCCGCCGAAGGUGGGACAGAUGAUUGGGGU
This 420-nucleotide ribosomal RNA is filed under the name uncultured bacterium. RNAcentral describes it as "bacterial SSU rRNA". It matches the Rfam family "Bacterial small subunit ribosomal RNA", at positions 1061 to 1481 of the family's 1533-position model. The record is from RNAcentral.